GACGAACGCUGGCGGCGUGCUUAACACAUGCAAGUCGAACGGAAAGGCCCUGCUUUUGUGGGGUGCUCGAGUGGCGAACGGGUGAGUAACACGUGAGUAACCUGCCCUUGACUUUGGGAUAACUUCAGGAAACUGGGGCUAAUACCGGAUAGGAGCUCCUGCUGCAUGGUGGGGGUUGGAAAGUUUCGGCGGUUGGGGAUGGACUCGCGGCUUAUCAGCUUGUUGGUGGGGUAGUGGCUUACCAAGGCUUUGACGGGUAGCCGGCCUGAGAGGGUGACCGGCCACAUUGGGACUGAAAUACAGCCCAGACUCCUACGGGAGGCAGCAGUGGGGAAUAUUGCACAAUGGGCGGAAGCCUGAUGCAGCAACGCCGCGUGCGGGAUGACGGCCUUCGGGUUGUAAACCGCUUUCGCCUGUGACGAAGCGUGAGUGACGGUAAUGGGUAAAGAAGCACCGGCUAACUACAUG
Molecule: ribosomal RNA, 468 nt
Filed under: uncultured bacterium
Lineage: Bacteria
Description: partial 16S ribosomal RNA
Rfam family: Bacterial small subunit ribosomal RNA
Source: RNAcentral